This is a non-coding RNA of Extremus antarcticus, 101 nucleotides long. Lineage: Eukaryota; Fungi; Ascomycota; Dothideomycetes; Mycosphaerellales; Extremaceae. The record is from the annotation of a GenBank genome assembly.
GGUGAGAUGGCCGAGCGGUCUAAGGCGCCAGCUUAAGGUGUUCAAUCAUUGCACGCUGGUCCUCCGGGGCGUGGGUUCGAAGUAUGUUCAACCGUUCAUCA